GAUGAACGCUGGCGGCGUGCCUAAUACAUGCAAGUCGAGCGAACAGACGAGGAGCUUGCUCCUCUGACGUUAGCGGCGGACGGGUGAGUAACACGUGGAUAACCUACCUAUAAGACUGGGAUAACUUCGGGAAACCGGAGCUAAUACCGGAUAAUAUAUUGAACCGCAUGGUUCAAUAGUGAAAGACGGUUUUGCUGUCACUUAUAGAUGGAUCCGCGUCGCAUUAGCUAGUUGGUAAGGUAACGGCUUACCAAGGCGACGAUGCGUAGCCGACCUGAGAGGGUGAUCGGCCACACUGGAACUGAGACACGGUCCAGACUCCUACGGGAGGCAGCAGUAGGGAAUCUUCCGCAAUGGGCGAAAGCCUGACGGAGCAACGCCGCGUGAGUGAUGAAGGUCUUCGGAUCGUAAAACUCUUUUAUUAGGGAAGAACAAAUGUGUAAUUAACUAUGCACGUCUUGACGGUACCUAAUCAGAAAGCCACGGCUAACUACGUG
Molecule: ribosomal RNA, 497 nt
Filed under: uncultured bacterium
Lineage: Bacteria
Description: partial 16S ribosomal RNA
Rfam family: Bacterial small subunit ribosomal RNA
Source: RNAcentral